GACUCAACACGGGGAAACUCACCAGGUCCAGACAUAACUAGGAUUGACAGAUUGAUAGCUCUUUCUUGAUUUUAUGGGUGGUGGUGCAUGGCCGUUCUUAGUUGGUGGAGUGAUUUGUCUGGUUAAUUCCGAUAACGAACGAGACCUUAACCUGCUAAAUAGCCAGACCGUCUUUUGAUGGUUGCAGGCUUCUUAGAGGGACUGUCAGGAUCUACCUGACGGAAGUUUGAGGCAAUAACAGGUCUGUGAUGCCCUUAGAUGUUCUGGGCCGCACGUGCGCUACACUGACAAAGCCAGCGAGUUUAUCACCUUGGCCGGAAGGUCCGGGUAAUCUUGUGAAACUUUGUCGUGCUGGGGAUAGAGCAUUGCAAUUAUUGCUCUUCAACGAGGAAUGCCUAGUAAGCGCAAGUCAUCAGCUUGCGUUGAUUACGUCCCUGCCCUUUGUACACACCGCCCGUCGCUACUACCGAUUGAAUGGCUUAGUGAGGUCUUCGGAUCGGCUUUAGGGAUCCGGCAACGGAACUCUGUUGCUGAGAAGUUGAUCAAACUUGGUCAUUUAGAGGAAGUAAAAGUCGUAACAAGGUUUCCGUAGGUGAACCUGCGGAAGGAUCAUUAAUGAAUUAAAGUCAGUCUUCUGUGCUGGUGGUGACACAUGUGCACGUUGAUUGCAAAUCCACACACCUGUGCACCUUUGACUUUGGGAUCCGCUUGUUGGCUUGUCUGACUUGCAGCUGAUGUUGGCUUUGUGCUCAUCUGGAUCUUGAAGUAAUUUUACACACUCAGAAUGUAAUAGAAUGUUCCUGUGCAUAAUGCGCAAAAUACAACUUUCAACAACGGAUCUCUUGGCUCUCGCAUCGAUGAAGAACGCAGCGAAAUGUGAUAAGUAAUGUGAAUUGCAGAAUUCAGUGAAUCAUCGAAUCUUUGAACGCACCUUGCACCCUUUGGUAUUCCAAAGGGUACACCCGUUUGAGUGUCAUUGUAAUCUCACUUCAUCAGCUUUUGUUGAUGGAGGUGGACCUGGACUCUGUUGUGUCAUUACAACUGGUCUGAAAUGUGUGAGUGCACCCUGCUGUUGCAGCGUCUUCAGUGUGAUAAGCAUCUUCACUGAAUCAAGUUCCUUUGGGACACGUCUGUAUUGUGGGCUCUGUGCUGGCAAACUGUCUUUGGACAAUCUUGACAAUUUGACCUCAGAUCGGGUGGGACUACCCGCUGAACUUAAGCAUAUCAAUAAGCGGAGGAAAAGAAACUAACAAGGAUUCCCCUAGUAACGGCGAGUGAAGAGGGAAAAGCUCAAAUUUUGAAUCUGGUGCCUUUGGUGCCCGAGUUGUAAUCUAGAGAAGUGUUUUCUGGCUUGGACCACACAUAAAUUUCCUGGAAUGGGAUGUCAUAGAGGGUGAGAAUCCCGUUUGUGGUGUGGACUACCUGGGCUCUGUGAUACACUCUCAACGAGUCGAGUUGUUUGGGAAUGCAGCUCAAAAUGGGUGGUAAAUUCCAUCUAAAGCUAAAUAUUGGCGAGAGACCGAUAGCGAACAAGUACCGUGAGGGAAAGAUGAAAAGCACUUUGGAAAGAGAGUGAAACAGUACGUGAAAUUGUUGAAAGGGAAGCGUUUGAAGUCAGUCACAUUGGUCAGAAUUCAGCCUGGCUUCUGCCUGGUGUACUUUCUGGCAAAUGGGUCAGCGUCAAUUUUGACCAAGGGAGAAAGACUUGAGGAAGGUAGCUGUCUUCGGGCAGUGUUAUAGCCUCUUGUUGUAAUGCUUGGUUGGGAUUUAGGAUCGCAGCACGCCUUAUGGCCGGGGUUCGCGCCCUCGGUACGUGCUUAGGAUGCUGGCAUAAUGGCUUUAAGCGACCCGUCUUGAAACACGGACCAAGGAGUCUAACAUGUGCGCAAGUGUUUAGGUGUCAAACCUGGGCGCGUAAUGAAAGUGAAAAGUCGGGAUCAUGUACUUGUGCACCGACACCCAGAGCAGACCUUCUGUGACGCAUCUGCGGUAGAGCGUAUAUGUUGGGACCCGAAAGAUGGUGAACUAUGCCUGAAUAGGGUGAAGCCAGAGGAAACUCUGGUGGAGGCUCGUAGCGAUUCUGACGUGCAAAUCGAUCGUCAAAUUUGGGUAUAGGGGCGAAAGACUAAUCGAACCAUCUAGUAGCUGGUUCCUGCCGAAGUUUCCCUCAGGAUAGCAGAAACUCAUUAUCAGCCUUGUGCGGUAAAGCGAAUGAUUAGAGGCCUUGGGGUUGAAACAACCUUAACCUAUUCUCAAACUCUAAAUGUGCAAGAUAGAGUUGUCACUUGAUUGGACUUCUCUGUGGGUGAGAGUUUCUAGUGGG
This 2323-nucleotide ribosomal RNA is filed under the name uncultured Sebacinales. RNAcentral describes it as "eukaryotic LSU rRNA". The stretch from base 1183 to 2323 matches the Rfam family "Eukaryotic large subunit ribosomal RNA", at positions 1 to 1130 of the family's 3401-position model. Lineage: Eukaryota; Fungi; Basidiomycota; Agaricomycetes; Sebacinales. The record is from RNAcentral.